GUGAAAUUCAGAUUUUUUUCUUCUCUGAAAUGCUUCCGGUGAACAUAACAAAAUUACUAUUCGAAAACAUUGGUAAAUUAUAAUAUUGUCAUUCAAAGAAUAAUAUAUUAUCAUCUCGUAAUUGCUACCGAAUGGCCAGAUCUCAAAAUAACUUUACUGGGAAAUCACAUUUUGCAAUAAACGGGGUGCUAUGCUAAGAACAAUAAGCUAUGCUAUACAGUUAGCAUCAUCUAAUAUCGAUAAUAACAUUGUAAAUGCCCGCCACACUGUACCUCCUGGACUCUGAACUGGUUUUGACUUUUUGCCUGUCCACGACCAUUCUCUUGCCUACCCCUUUAGGAUUAUUAAUAAAUAUCAAAGACUCAAACCAUCUGCAUCUGGGUCUCGCCUUGUGCCCUUAUAACAGAUGCUAUAAACAGAGUCCUAUGUGGAACCACAAUUGCUUUGUAGCAUAAUAUACAGUACCAGUCAAAGGUUUGGACACACCUACUCAUUGCAGGGUUUUUCUUUAUUUUUACUAUUUUAUACAUUGUAGAAUAAUAGUGAAGACAUCCAAACACAUAUGGAAUCAUGUAGUAACCAAAAAAGUGUUAUAAACAAAUCAAAAUAUAUUUGAGAUUUUUCAAAAUAGCCACCCUUUGCCUUGUUGACAGCUUUGCACACUCUUGGCAUUCUCUCAGCCCCCCCCCAAAAAGUAAGUAGCCUAAAAUCCAAUUUAAAAAAAUGGCUAUAAAGUUUUGUAUAUUUGACACAUCGGAACACAAGUAGUGUUUUUGUAAUUUGUUAUAGGCUGUUUUUAAGGACACGAAAUGUGGCUCAUUUGGCCAACAUCCCUCAUUUAUUGAUGGCGCUGUCUGCACCAGGUUGAAUCUGAAUGCAUAUGGAUGUCCAUAACAUUUCUCAAAUGUCCAGUAAAUAAGUUUUCCCUCUCAUGUUGUCUGGAGCCAAGAUUUCCUAAAGGAAAACUCUGAAAUGGCAUAUUUUUAAUGAAGAUUUUGUAAUAUUCACAUGCAUCUGUCGUCAGUUGGAUGGAAACCCAGUUAUAGACACCCUAAAGACUCUGGCAAGUACCCUAGUCCGGUGUCACUUUGAUUAUGCCUACACAUCAUGGUUCACCAGCAGCCCCAAACAUCUAAAGAAUAUGCUACCAGCUAAACAAGCUUGUAAGAAUUGCACUAAACUCCCCCCCCCCCUUAUACUCAUCUAGAGGUUGAUCACUUUUCAUCUCUAUCUCUGUAAUUUGUCUAUCUAUGUAAGUGUAUAUGUAUUUAUGUAACAAAUAGGGACCACAAUGGAAAUAAGUCCCUGACUUUAUUGUGCAAUCCAGGUCACUUUAAAAAUCUUUCUGUACAGUAUAUACAGUAUGUAUUUUUCUAACAGACAAAUAAAAUCAACCAAUCAAUCCAAACUUUGCAGCGGCCAAUUGAUGAAUGGAAAGAAACAUCUGUUAAAAAAACUAAAGUUUAAUGACAUUUGGAGAUUGACAAUCCAAGUCUUCGAUACUGGGUAAGCCUACAAGGUAGGGAAGGAUAUAUUUUCUGUUUGUCGAGAUUGACAUAGACUAUUUAUUUUGGUGUUAAAUACAAACCAUGAUAUUGAAGUGCACAAAGUCGGUAUGAUUGUUUUAUUGGUUGUGUGGUGCAUUGGCACAGAAACCUGUGAAAACCAACUAAAAUUCGUUGCAUAUUUUUUAUAUAAUUAUAAAUAUGUCAUCAACAUUUUGAAAUCUGAUUUCCCCCUUAGCUGUUCAUUGUCUACAGCUGGCUCUGAUCGUAGUGUAAUGAAACAGGCAAGGAGAGUGAACUCGUCUGUUGUGGUCGAGGAACCCUCAACCUUCUGGCCUGUAGCCCUGCCUGUCGUCAGCUGUGCCAAAAGAACAUGCUGAAGUGGCAAUGUCGAUAUCCAUGUUUAUAAACAAAGGGUCGCUACAGUUAUUUGUGGUCGCAAACAUAAUUUUUUGUUAAUUCUAUGAAGGGGAUGUUCAAUUUAUUUUACAGCACAAGGGGAGGGUCAUGUUAAAAUCUUUUUCACUUUGGGGAGGAGGUGGCUUUUUUUUAUGACACCUUGAGUUGGACCAGCCCCUCCCCCCAGUAAAUUUAAGUAUACUUAGCUAUACAAAUGCAAAUAUUUCUCUCUGCCCCAAGGCAAUACAUGUGUAGAAUUGCAUGAGCUAUAAAACUGCUGUAAUAUGUUGUGAUAAUGGCCUGGCUAACGCUACCACACAUUCAUGGACGUUACCCUGCACAUAUUGUGUAGAACUGUGCUGGAUUUAUGGCAUUUUCAGAGCUUUUUGAAUAAUUCAUUUUUUUGUUGUUGAUGAUUUUGAACCCCUGCUCAAAUGAAACCUCUCUUCUGGAUGAAACAGUCAAUGAGUUAUUCUCCCCCAUCCAUAGCUACAGGUACUCCUGGCUGGCUAUUUUUGGAUAUCCCCAGUCAGGCUGGAUUCCAAUAGGAAUUAGAUAUAAUUUUGCAAGUCAACAUAAUGUGACCUGAUGCUCGUUUUGCGGUUGACCAGCAUAUGCUGGGAUGCUGGUGACUAAUUUAUGUGUCUAAAAUGCAACGAAGGCUGGUCACCAGCAAAAACACAACAAAGGCUAGUCACCAGUGAAAACACAACGAAGGCUGGUCACCAGCGAAAACACAAAUCAAAUCAAAGUUUAUUUGUCACGUGCGCCGAAUACAACAGGUGUAAACCUUACAGUGAAGUGCUUACUUACAGGCUCUAACCAACAGUGCAAAAAAAGUAUUAUGUGAACAAUAGGUAAGUAAAGAAAAAAAACUGCAAUGAAGGCUGGUCACCAACGAAAACACAACGAAGGCUAGUCACCAGUGAAAACACAACGAAGGCUGGUCACCAACGAAAACACAACGAAGGCUAGUCACCAGUGAAAACACAACGAAGGCUGGUCACCAGUGAAAACACAACGAAGGCUGGUCACCAACGAAAACACAACGAAGGCUGGUCACCAGCGAAAACACAACGAAGGCUGGUCACCAACGAAAACACAACGAAGGCUGGUCACCAACGAAAACACAACGAAGGCUGGUCACCAGCGAAAACACAACGAAGGCUGGUCACCAGCGAAAACACAACGAAGGCUGGUCACCAACGAAAACACAACGAAGGCUGGUCACCAGUGAAAACACAACGAAGGCUGGUCACCAGUGAAAACACAACGAAGGCUGGUCACCAGUGAAAACACAACGAAGGCUGGUCACCAGUGAAAACACAACGAAGGCUGGUCACCAGCGAAAACACAACGAAGGCUGGUCAAUGCUGUUUUUUUCAUCAGGCAUUGGUUAAGCCAGAUGGACUCUGCAAAUCCUUCCCUUUUACUUUGAAGAGAAAUUGGCUAGUUACACAACCUGGCAAAUGUUCAGUGGCAGCCAGGGCAGAGCGAGGUCAGCCAUCUGCGAGCUACACAACAUGACCAAAAGUAUGUGGACACCUCCUCGUCGAACAUCUCAUUCCAAAAUCAUGGGCAUUAAUAUUAAGAUUUUAUACACCUGUCAGCAACGGGUGUGUCUGAAAUAGCCGAAUCCACUAAUUCGAAUGGGUGUCCACAUACUUAUGUAUAUAUAGUGUACUUAAGUAAAGUGUAUCAUUGGGUUCUCAAUUAAAUGUUUGUGCCUAACACUCUAAACAUGAACUGUGCGGUUCCAGUGCAUUGCCAAAAAUGCCGUCCUGGCCAGCUAAUUGUUUCCAUGCAAACACCAGUGAGCGGAAGGUUUUCUCAACCCAGUAAGAGUUUAUUACACUGAGGGAAAUGUUAGUUUUACAGGUGGUGCUAAAAUAUCUCUGCAUAUGGUGUAGGUCACAUGAACGCUCCACUAUAUAAAACAUUGAUAUCUGUAUUAUAGUUAACAAUGACAUCAAUAUCUGGCCACGUCGAUGCUACACAUUCGUGUUUUGAGAACCUUGGAGAGCGCUAUGAAAAUGCUAACUAUUAAAAUGUUUCAUUCAUUAUGAUAACCCUCAUAUUUUGAAUGGGGGCAUCAUUAGCAUUGCUAACUGCCAGACACAUACCUUCCCCCGGCGUAAACAAAUAGUCUACCUGCUACACACUGUAAGCCACUAGUAGAUCCAGCCAGACCAUCUCUCCCCCUCUCCUUUCUCCCUCCCUUUCUUUUUCCUGUUUACUGGUGUUUUACAACUGCGGACCCAAGCCCUCAAUGCACAGUGUGUGGGGGGCUGAAGGACGACGGAUGGUGAAAGUACAACCAGCUCCAGAUGUUGUAGUAAUGUUGAAGUAAAUCCAGAAGAACUGUAAGGUAUAAAUCUGAGUGGAUGAUGGACAGACCGUUCUAAAGUACUGUAGAAGGCUCUGACUGCAUCCUCCACCUACAUCAUAUGAGGUACACCUUAGGGGUCGACCAGUGUUAUUGCUAUAAAUAGUUAGCGUGACAACAGCCUUCGAAUCUGGGUCUGUAGCAUGUUUUAGGCUGUGCCCCAAAUGGCACCGUAUUGUCUAUGUAGUGCACUACUUUUGAAGUCUUAGUGAUGCUUUCAUUUUUUACAUUUACAUUUUAGUCAUUUAGCAGACGCUCUUAUCCAGAGCGACUUACAUUUCAUUUCAUACAUUUUUUUUUUUCUUCCAUACUGGCCCCCCGUGGGAAUCGAACCCACAACCCUGGCGUUGCAAACACCAUGCGUUGCAAACACCAUGCUCUACCAACUGAGCUACAGGGAAGGCCGAUGGGUCGUUUUCCUGAAGAAAUAUCAGAUCAAUAAAGAAGUAAACCUCACCUGGUUUUAAUUCGUCAGACUGUAUAUUGUAACGGUUUCCGGAUAGUUUUGAUACAGUGUGUCAAGUAGCUUAGAGGUGCCAUCAGAGGGAUCUACACCGGAGGUAGUCAAACUUCACAAUAGAUCAUUGACAUAUUGUUUUUGAGCAUGGAGUAUGUUUUUUGGUGUGCUUACAUAGCUGUACAGUGAAUAUUGUAUUACGGUACCUAUAGUGUCACUACAUUUGGGCACGGGGUACAAAGAGAGAAUGGAGAAAAGCCACUGCAACGUCCAAUUUUGAUGAUUUGAUGAAGCUGUCCAUGAACACGAAUCAAAUUUGACUACAGACUACAGAGUUUAGGGACCCGGAGCUAUUGCUGUUGCUGAUCCCCACUCCUAUGUACUGUCUCUCUGUGCGUUCUGUACGCUCUGUCAGUGUGCUCAGUCAGCGAGAAAAGACAGGGUGCCAGAAAUGUGUUUCCAAUCUGGGCUGUGCUCAUAUGGGAAAUUAGAGCGGAGCGGGGAGAACAUUUCUGCCCAGACCCUGUGAGGCAGCAUGGGGAGGAACACAGCCAAGCGCCUGCCCAGAAGAACCAUGAGCCAUGGCAAACAAACGCUGCUGUGACAUCUCCCCCAACAUGGAAAUAUAGCCCUGCAAAAAAGAGACCAGAGACAUGGAUUUUGCAAAUAUUUAGCAUUGUUCAUCCAAAGACAGGAUCCCAGAAGCUUCUGAUUGUUAUUGGCAGCAUUUUUUUCUAUCCAGAUUUUGAGGGAUAUUUUAGAGGCACCAAUAAAAUGGGUUUAACUGAGGUGCACUAGAUUAUUAUUGAUAUUAAGUGUUAUACUUUUAAUAAUGUCAUACUGACUUCACUGUGGAUCAGUGUCACGACUUCCGCCGAAGUCGGUUCCUCUCCUUGUUUGGGCGACGUUCAGUGGUUGACGUCACCGGUCUUCUAGCCAUCGCCAAUCCACCUUUCAUUUUCCAUUUGUUUUGUCUUGUUUUCCCACACACCUGGUUUACAUUGCUUUUUAGCUUGCUUUUUAUGCCAUGUCAAUUUGAGAUCCUCAGUGUUCCAAAGCUUCUAGGCUUGUAAUUUCAGCACCUGUCCACCAGGUGUAGCUGUUUGUUAUGUUCUGUUUCAGCUUCUACAGUCUCAUUCAACUACUAUAGGAUGUCUUUUAAGCAUGUUUUUUUCCCUAUUCAUUCACUCAACUAUCGAUGGGACUUGUUAUUAUUGUUUUCAAGAUUUUACUGUAGUUUGGUUUGCUCUCAGACCUAUAAAACUUGAUCGAAAAAACCCAUCAGAUGAGAUAACCAACAGUGGGUGAUAUACUUACUCUCUUAAAACACUGUGGCACCCUAAUCCCCAUAUAGUGCACUACCUUUGACAAGGGCAUAUAGGGCUCUAGUCAAAAGUAGUUUACAAUAGGGUAUACUAUAGAGGGAAUAUGGUGCCAUUUCAGAUGCAGACUAUGUAAGGCAUUACUUCCUCCGUAAUAAUUGUAUAGUUUAUACAACAGAGUUGCACUUGAGUAUAGUAGUAUGUGGUACGGCUGUAUUAAAUAGAGUCUGCUAAAGGACUAGAAUGUGAAUAAAAAUGGAGGGUUGUGUUGGAUUCUACUGAGUCACCAUUAAGUGGAAUGCCUCCCUUACUGCAUCCUAAAUAACACCCUAUUCACUAUGUAGUGCACUCCUUUUGACCUGGGCCCAUAGGUCUCUCGUUAAAAGUAGUACACAAUAUAGGGAAUAGGAUGCAAUUUGGGGCGUAGCCCCCUCUCUCACCUCCCCACAUCUGGACCCUGUAACAUUCCACAGGGCGAGCAGAGACGGGGCGCCCACACACACACACACAGUUACACAUGUAUGUGCCUGUUUGUGUUCAUGUGUUACAACUCAGCCUCUCCCCUUUCUACUUGUGGGACACUCCCACACCCAACACUCCCGCACACACAUACACAUUGUUCCCAUGCAUACUGUAUGUACAACCCCCCGCACUCUCAUCCUGAGACCAAAAUCAAUGUCUGCUUCUCUUGGUGUGUGUAGCCUUACGUCCAGGGAAUCCGCCACACACACAUACUCACUCAGUAAUAGAAUCCACAGGGAGGAGUGUGAGAGACUGACACAGUCCUAGACGGCCCUGAUAAUGGAAAUAUAAUAACAGCAGCACCAUUUCUCCCCGUUGUCAACGGGCUGUGUUCCAGAUUAGUACAGAGGUAAUAAAACUCAAGUAUAAUACAUGUAUCUUCUCAAUGAAGCUAUAGGAGAUUAGUACUGAGCAUAGUGAGUAAACAUUAGUGUAGGUCUUACAACUGAAGUAUGAUACUCUUCUCAAUGAAGCUAUAGGAGAUUAGUACUGAGCAUAGUGAGUAAACAUUAGUGUAGGCCUUACAACUGAAGUAUGAUACUCUUCUCAAUGAAGCUAUAGGAGAUUAGUACUGAGCAUAGUGAGUAAACAUUAGUGUAGGCCUUACAACUGAAGUAUGAUACUCUUCUCAAUGAAGCUAUAGGAGAUGCAGCACAGUGUAUUCUUGAUUAGUUUGUUUCAGAUAGCCCAUUACUGUAAGUUCAAAGUCUGUUUAAGUACAAUACAUUCCAUUUCUAAUACUUAAAAAAAGACAUCUACUGACAACUGCAAACUAUAGUGAGUGCUGUCGAAACAUUCUAUUCAAACCGUUACGUUCCUUCUCUCAGCUUCUACUUCUUUCCAUCUCUCUCUCUCUCUCUCUGUGUUGCGUUGCAUUUCUCAGAGUCAACUGUACAUUAAAUAAUGAAAGAUGUUUGAUGUUUGUUCAGAUUGUUUAACGUCAGAGAUACAUUUAUUUCUAACUGUGAAGGAGGGGUGAAUACUUUGGCGCCAUAGGUUUUAUUAACAAGUUAUGUUUAGAACAGGCCCAUACCACCCUCAGGAUAUGACUGUGGCCUGUCUCUGUCUGUCUAUGUGUUUGUUUCUGUCUGUGGAGAGAAAGGGGCUAGUCUAGGCUAGGACCCUGAACUAUAGUGCUGGGGGUCAUUGCUUUGUGCACUUACCUUUCCACCCUCCCCCUCCCUUUUUCCCUUUCAUCUGCAGCUGUGAACUUGCACUUCUAUUCACAACCUGUGUGUAUGUGCUCAUCAAAUCAAACGUUAUUUUUCACAUGCGCCGAAUACAACAGGUGUAGACCUUACAGUGAAAUGCUUACUUACAAGCCCUUAACCAACAAUGCAGUUUUAAGAAAAGAAAAUACCUAAAAAAAGCAAGAGAUAAAAAUAACAAAUAAUUAGAGCAGCAGUAAUAUAACAAUUACGGGGCUGUAUAGAGGGGGUACCGGUACAGAGUCAAUGUGGGUGGGCACUGGUGUCGAGGUAAUUGAGGUAAUAUGUACAUGUAGGUAGAGUUAUUAACCUGUUAGGGCUAGGGGGCAGUAUUGACACGGCCGGAUAAAAAACGUACCCGAUUUAAUCUGGUUACUACUCCUGCCCAGUAACUAGAAUAUGCAUAUAAUUAUUGGCUUUGGAUAGAAAACACCCUAAAGUUUCUAAAACUGUUUGAAUGGUGUCUGUGAGUAUAACAGAACUCAAAUGGCAGGCCAAAACCUGAGAAGAUUCCAUGCAGGAAGUGGCCUGUCUGAGAAGUUGUGUUUCAUCUUGGCUCUUUUUAUUGUAGACUCAGGAUCUUUGCUCUAACGUGACACUUCCUACGGCUCCCAUAGGCUCUCAGAGCCCGGGAAAAAGCUGAACGAUAUCGAGGCAGCCUCUGGCUGAAACACAUUAUCGCUUUUGGCAAGUGGCCGAUCAGAGUACUAUGGGCUUAGGCGCGUGCCCGAGUCGACCGAAUGCUUUAUUUUCUUUCGUCUGUUUACCUAAACGCAGAUUCCCGGUCGGAAUAUUAUCGCUUUUUUAUGAGAAAAAUUGCAUAAAAAUUUAUUUUAAACAGUGGGUGACAUGCUUCGAAGUACGGUAAUGGAAUAUUUACAAUUUUUUUGUCACGAAUUGCGCCAUGCUCGUCACCCUUAUUUACCCUUUCGGAUAGUGUCUUGAACGCACGAACAAAACGCCGCUGUUUGGAUAUAACUAUGGAUUAUUUUGAACCAAACCAACAUUUGUUAUUGAAGUAGAAGUCCUGGGAGUGCAUUCUGACGAAGACAGCAAAGGUAAUAACAUUUUUGUUAUAGUAAAUCUGACUUUGGUGAGUGCUAAACUUGCUGGGUGUCUAAAUAGCUAGCCCUGUGAUGCCGGGCUAUCUACUGAGAAUAUUGCAAAAUGUGCUUUCACCGAAAAGCUAUUUUAAAAUCGGAUAUAUCGAGUGCAUAGAGGAGUUCUGUAUCUAUAAUUCUUAAAAUAAUUGUUAUGCUUUUUGUGAACGUUUAUCGUGAGUAAUUUAGUAAAUUCACCGGCAGUGUUCGGUGGGAAUGCUAGUCACAUGCUAAUGUAAAAAGCUGGUUUUUGAUAUAAAUAUGAACUUGAUUGAACAAAACAUGCAUGUAUUGUAUAACAUAAUGUCCUAGGGUUGUCAUCUGAUGAAGAUCAUCAAAGGUUAGUGCUGCAUUUAGCUGUGGUUUGGGUUUAUGUGACAUUAUAUGCUAGCUUGAAAAAUGGGUGUCUGAUUAUUUCUGUCUGGGUACUCUGCUGACAUAAUCUAAUGUUUUGCUUUCGUUGUAAAGCCUUUUUGAAAUCGGACAGUGUGGUUAGAUUAACGAGAGUCUUGUCUAUAAAAUUGUGUAAAAUAGUCAUAUGUUUGAAAAAUUGAAGUUUUUGCAUUUUUGAGGUUUUUGAAUAACGCGCCACGGGAUUACACUGGCUGUUACGUAGGUGGGACGAUUUGGUGCCACCUACCCUAGAGAGGUUAAAGUGACUAUGCAUAGAUAAUAACAGAGAGUAGCAGCAGCGUAGAGGAGGGGGGGGGGUGGGCAAUGCAAAUAGUCUGGGUAGCCAUUUGAUUAGACGUUCAGGUGUCUUGUGGCUUGGGGUAGAAGCUGUUUAGAAGCCUCCUGGACCUAGACUUGGUGCUCCGGUACUAUUCUCCGUGCGGCAGCAGAGAGAACAGUCUAUAACUAGGGUGUCUGGAGUCUUUGAAAAUUAUUAGGGCAUUCCUCUGACACCGCCUGGUGUAGAGGUCCUGGAUGGCAGGAAGCUUAGCCCCGGUGAUGUACUGGGCCGUACGCACUACCCUCUGUAGUGCCUUGUAUUUGAAAGGCCGAGCAGUUGCCAUACCAGGCAGUGAUGCAACCUGUCAGCAUGCUCUCGAUGGUGCAGCAAUCAAACCUUUUGAGGGUCUGAGGACCCACGCCAAAUCUUUUCAGUCUGCUGAGGGGGAAUAGGUUUUGUCGUGCCCUCUUCACGACUGUCUUGGUGUGCUUGGACCAUGUUAGUUUGUUGGUGAUGUGGACGCCAGAGAACUUGAAAUGCUCAACCUGCUCCACUACAGCCCCAUCGAUGAGAAUGGGUUGUGCUCCUUUUCCUGUAGUCCAUAAUCAUCUCCUUUGUCUUGAUCAUGUUGAGGGAGAGGUUGUUGUCCUUGCACCACACGGUCAGGUCUCUGAACACCUACCUAUAGGCUGUCUCAUUGUUGUCGGUGAUCUGGCCUACCGCUGUUGUGUCAUCGACAAACUUAAUGAUGGUGUUGGAGUCGUGCCUGGCCGUGCAGUCAUGAGUGAAUACGAAGUACAGGAGAGGACUGAGCACGCACCCCUGAGGGGCCCCCAUGUUGACGAUCAGCAUGGCAGAUGUGUUGUUACCUACCCUUACCACCUGGGGGCGGCCCGUCAGGAAGUCCAGGAUCCAGUUGCAGAGGGAGGUGUUUAGUCCCAGGGUUCUUAGCUUAGUGAUGAGCUUUGAGUGCACUAUGAUGUUGAACGCUGAGCUGUAGUCAAUGAAUAGCAAUCUCACAUAGGUGUUCCUUUUGUCCAGGUGUGAAAGGCCUGGACAAAAGGAGUACAAUAGAGAUUGCAAAAAGAGUGCAAUAGAGAUUGCAUCAUCUGUGGAUCUGUUGGAGCGGUAUUUAAAUUGGAGUGGGUCUAGGUUUUCUGGGAUAAUGGUGUUGAUGUGAGCCAUGACCAGCCUUUCAAAGCAUUUUAUGGCUACAGAUGUGAGUGCUACGGGUCGGUAGUCAUUUAGGCAGGUUACCUUAGUGUUCUUGGGCACAGGGACUAUGGUGGUCUGCUUGAAACAUGUUGGUAUUACAGACUCAGACAGGGAGAGGUUGAAAAUGCCAGUUGGUCAGUGCAUGCUCGGAGUACACUUCCUGGUAAUUCGUCUGGCCCUCCGGCCUUGUGAAUGUUGACUUGUUUAGAGGUCUAUCCCACAUCGGCUGCGGAGAGCGUGAUCACAGUCACCUGGAACAGCUGAUACUCUCAUGCAUGUUUCAGUGUUACUUGCCUCGAAGCAAACAUAGAAGUUAUUUAGCUCGUCUUGUAAGCUCGUGUCACUGGGCAGCUCUCGGCUGUGCUUCCCUUAGUAGUCUGUAAUAGUUUGCAAGCCCUGCCACAUCCGACGAGCAUCGAAGCCGGUGUAGUACGAUUCGAUCUUAGUCCUGUAUUGAUGCUUUGCCUGUUUGAUGGUUCGUCGGAGGGCAUAGCGGGAUUUCUGAUAAGCUUCCGGGUUAGAGUCCCACUCCUUGAAAGCGGCAGCUCUACCCUUUAAAUGUUGCCUGUAAUCUAUGGCUUCUGGUUGGGGUCUGUACGUACAGUCACUUUGUGGACGAUGUCAUCAAUGCACUUAUUGAUGAAGCCAGUUAUGUGGUGUGCUCCUCAAUGCCAUUGGAAGAAUCCCGGAACAUAUUCCAGUCUGUGCUAGCAAAACAGUCUUAUAGUUUAGCAUCUGCUUCAUCUGCCCACUUUUUUAUAGACUGAGUCACCGGUGCUUCCUGCUUUAAUUUUUGCUUUGUAAGCAGGAAUCAGGGGGAUAGAAUUAUGGUCAGAUUUGCCAAAUGGAAAGCGAGGGAGAGCUUUGUACGUCUCUAUUUGAGGAGUAAAGGUGGUCUAGAGUUUAUUCCCUCUGGUUGCACAUUUAACAUGCUGAUAGAAAUGAGGUAAAACUGAUUUAAGCUUCCCUACAUUAAAGUCCCCGGCCACUAGGUGCACUGCCUCAGGAUGAGCGUUUUCCUGUUUGUUUAUGGCGGUAUACAGCUCAUUGAGUACGGUUUUAGUGCCAGCAGAGGUCUGUGGUGGUAUGUAGACAGCUAUGAAAAAUAUAGAUGAAAACUCUCUAGGUAGAGCUUAACAUGAGAUACUCUACCUCAGCCAAGCAAAACCUUGAGACUUUCUUAGAUAUCGUGCACCAGCUGUUGUUUACAAAUAUACAUAGGCCGCCACCCCGUGUAUUACCAGAGGCUGCUGUUCUAUCCUGCCGAUAGAGUGUAUAACCCCCCAGCUGUAUGUUAUUAAUGUCGUCGUUCAGCCACGACUCGGUGAAACAUAAGAUAUUACAGUUUUUAAUAUCCCGUUGGUAGGAUAUAAGUGCUUUCAGUUCGUCCCAUUUAUUUUCCAGCAAUUGAACGUUGGCUUACAGUACGGAUGGCAAAGGCAGGUUAGCCACUCGUCGCCUGACCCUCACAAGGCACCCCGAUCUCUUUCCGCGAAAUCUCAGUUUCUUUCUCCAGUGAAUGACGGGGAUGAGGGCCUGUUCGGGUGUUUGGAGUAUAUCCUUCCCAUCCGACUCAAUAAAGAAAAAUUAUUAGUCCAAUUCGAGGUGAGUAAUCGCUGUUCUGAUGUCCAGAAGCUCUUUUCGGUCAUGAGAGAUGGUAGCAGCAACAUUAUGCACAACAUAAGUUACAAACAAUGUGAAAAAACGAACAAAAUAGCAUGGUUGUGUCACGCUCUGACAUUGGAGAGCUGUGUUUUCUCUGUUUAGCUAGGCCAGGGUGUGAUAGGUGGGUGGGCAUUCUAUGUUCGGUUUUCUAUGUUUUGGCCGGGUAUGGUUUCCAAUCAGAGGCAGGUGUUUAUCGUUGUCUCUGAUUGGAAGCCAUACUUAGGCAGCCUGUUUUUCCUUUAUGUUUUGUGGGUAGUUGCUUUCUGUUUAGUGUGUGAGUAUACCUGACAGAACUGUUUGGCUGUCGUUUGUUUUGCUUUGUGAAGUGCUUUUAUUCAAAAUAAAAGAUGAGCACUCAACAUGCUGCGCCUUGGUCUGUUCACUACAACGCCUGUGACAGGUUGGUUAAGUGCUAAUAAAACGGCAGCCAUCCUCUCCGCCGCCAUCUUCCGUGUGUGUGUGUGCGUGUGCGUUGUUCUGCUCUAGUUAUAUCACAGCUCUAAGGUGUCAGCUGCAUAGCUUCAAAAGAGCUUCACCAUCUGCCAAUUUCGAUUAUAGGUGCAACUGUCCCAGAGUCCCGGUAAGAGGACUGAUAAUGACCAGCAGGAGACAACAACUCACACUUUAUUGCCACACUGAACAGACAGGCACACACAGCAAACAAGAAGCAGUACUAGUGAAAGUGUAAGUGAUAGUGUUGUGUUGCAAUGAAUAGUGGUUUUCUGUAGGACAGAAGGAACAGGAAAUAUAUAUUACAGUAGUAAUAGCAGUGAUGCAAUAUAUACAAAGCAGCAAUGGCAUAACAAUGGGCUAGCACACGAUAGUAAUGGCUAUACUAGCAUUAGUGGUGCUAGCAUGGUAAUAUUAUUGGCUAGUAAUAAAUAUACAGUAAUACACAGGGGCUAGUAGGCUAAUACGCUACAGAGCAGUAAUGCAGGCGAACAGGCUACAUAUGGUAGCAUCCUGUAGUAAGGGGCUAUAAAAAAAUAGUAUAAAUGCUAGCACCUUCAGUACAAUAUAUACAGGGGGUGCUAGCAUGCUAGGCUAGCAGGCCAAGGGCAAGUAGGCCUAAGGCUAUAGGUAAUAGCACACUGUAGUAUGUACAGUAAGGGCAAGUUAGCAUCACUGUUAGCAGCUACAAAGGCUAGGAUGCUAACAAACGGCCAUGUUGGAUGUGGCUAUGACCAUAUCAUGAAGUGACUGGGGCAUGAUAACAUCACUGGUCGGCCAUUUUAGGUGAGGAUAUACAACGGCAUGACUAGCAGCCAUCUUGGCCCAGAGAAAGCAAUGGGAGAGAUUUUACCCCAUGGCCUGAACAUAAAGGUACACAGAACUAUGCCAAAGUGGCAGACUGUGAAAUGUAUGUAACAUGGGAUUACAGAAGGAGGAAAUCCUGAAAUAUACACAUCUUAAGGAAGCAUAUACAAGCAUAUACUAACAAAGCAAUAGCAGCCUAUAACACGUAUACAGAUCAAAUACACACAUGAACCCUAACAAAGUCCACUUACCUUUUCCGUGACGAACUAACACAUGGUUGGGGAAGUCCAGGGAAGGCUUGUACGGUUCAGCAAUCCUCAUCAGUAAAAGGCUACAAAGUUUGUGUCUCUCCCAGGUCCAGAGAGAGAGUUAAGGAGAGAGGGUUUUUAACAAUAGCGGUUGAACAGGCAGUUAUAUAAACAAGUGUCUUCUCAUUGGCCAUGUUGGUUUUGUCUUAACAAUCCUCUACGGCAGUGGUUCCCAAACUUUUUAUAGUCCCCUACCCCUUCAAACAUUCAACCUCCAGCUGCGUACCCCCUCCAGCACCAGGGUCAGCUCACUCUCAAAUGUUGUUUUUUGCCAUCAUUGUAAGCCUGCUAUACAAUACAUUAAUUAAACAUAAGAAUGAGUGUGAGUUUUUGUUACAACCCGGCUCGUGGGAAGUGACAAAGAGCUCUUAUAGGACCAGGGCACAAAUAAUAAUAUAAUAAUAAUCAAUAAUUUUGCUCUUUAUUUAGCCAUCUUACUUAAAAAAAACGUAUUUGUUCAUCAUAAAUUGUGAAUAACUCACCACAGGUUAAUGAGAAGAGUGUGCUUGAAAGGAUGCACAAAACUCUGCAAUGAUGGGUUGUAUUGGAGAGAGUCUCAGUCUUUAAAUUAUUUUCCACACACAGUCUGUGCCUGUAUUUAGUUUUCAUGCUAGUGAGGGCCGAGAAUCCACUCUCACAUAGGUACGUGGUUGCAAAGGGCAUCAGUGUCUUAACAGCGUGAUUUUCCAAGGCAAGAAACUCUGAGCUCAGCCCUAUCCAGGUAUCUGGCAGUGGCUUCUGAUUAAAUUAAAUUUUCACAGAAGCGUUUGUUGCAAUUUCAAUGAGGCUCUCUUAUUCAGAUAUUGGUAAGUGGACAGUAGGCAGGGCAUGAAAUGGAUAAGGAAUUCAGUUGUUUGUGUCAUCCGUUUCGGGAAAGUACCGGCGUAAUUGUCCAUCCAGCUCACUCAGGUGCUUCACUAUAUCACAUUUGACAUUGUCCGUAAGCUUGAGUUCAUUUACACACAAAAAAAUCAUACAUUCUUAACACAGACAGAAAAGAGCUCCAACUUCGUAAUCAUAGCCUCAAUUUUGUCCCACACAUUGAAUAUACUUGCGGAGAGUCUUUGUAAUCCUACAUUUAAAAAAGUGUCAAUACUUUGCCCCUUGAUAACCAGCGCACUUCGUAUGUUGUAAAAGCGUUACAUGGUCGCUGCCCAUAUUAUAUAUGAAGGGAACAUUUUGGCAUUUACUGUAUGAUCGAUGAGAAACUCCAUAUUGCAAAUGUACGGUCCCUUACUAGACAUCCACGAAUGUUUGUAAAAUUCGUGGAUGGCUACGGGCCAUGCACCGGGGCCAGAUCUUCCGGGAAGUCAUCGAACGAAGCCUCUCGGACAUUCGAUUUCCGUUUUAUAAAAUUAUCUAAUUUUUGUCAUUUUUCCGCUGUCCCGGAAAAUACCACCAGAUGGCGAAUGUAAUCUUAUUGCAAAUGUACAAACAUCACCAAUCACGACGUGGCCAUUUUUCCUAAACGGAAAAGACUUCGAAGACGAAACUUGGUGAGCAUAGGUUUGGCAUAAUGGGCAGUUGGCCCCGAACAAGACGACGUCGAGGCCUCAACGCUUUUUGAGUUAAGGCUAUUUUUCUGGGAUUAAAGGUCAAAAAUUAAAAUAGAGCGCUAAUUUGACCACUUCACGUCAAAGUACAUGAACCUACGGUGUCAGGAAAAAAAGAACCAGCCAUUUAUCUAUCGUAAUUUAAGAGAAAUCGUACAAUGUACAAUUGGUGAUGUUCAAAAAAUGUUUUGUUUUUUUCUCAGAAAAGUUACAGAUCCAAUUGCAGCUUGUUCAGAUGAAUCCGUUAAGGCGGGUUUCGGAGCUCUGCAAGAUUUCUGUAAUUUUCUGUGAUUUUCUGAAAUAACACACACUCAUUCAACCCUCUGUAAAUAAGUCAGUUCUUAACGUAAAGACUUAAAACUCAAUAUUCUAUAAGAGCCUACCCCAAGGAGGGUAUGUGUUCACUUUCAGCUUCCUGUGUCAACCAGCAGUACCUUAAAAAAUAUAUUUGUUUUAUUUCAUCUUUAUUUAACCAGGUAGGCAAGUUGAGAACAAGUUCUCAUUUACAAUUGCGACCUGGUCAAGAUAAAACAAGCAGUUUGACACCUACAACAACACAGAGUUACACAUGGAGUAAAACAAACAUACAGUCAAUAAUAUAGUAGAAAAAUAAGUCUAUAUACAAAGUGAGCAAAUGAGGUGAGAUAAGGGAGGUAAAGGCAAAAAAGGCCAUGGUGGCGAAGUAAAUACAAUAUAGCAAGUAAAACACUGGAAUGGUAGAUUUGCAGUGGAAGAAAGUGCAAAGUAGAAAUAUAAAUAAUGGG
RNAcentral lists this long non-coding RNA (16334 nucleotides) under Salmo salar (Atlantic salmon). RNAcentral describes it as "lncRNA (ENSSSAG00000099857.1)". Lineage: Eukaryota; Metazoa; Chordata; Actinopteri; Salmoniformes; Salmonidae. The record is from RNAcentral.